CCUACGGGAGGCAGCAGUGAGGAAUCUUGCGCAAUGGGCGAAGGCCUGACGCAGCGACGCCGCGUGAGGGAUGAAGGCCUUCGGGUUGUAAACCUCUGUCAGGGGGGAAGAACCCUCGGGCGGUGAAUAACCGCCCGGGCUGACGGUACCCCCAGAGGAAGCACCGGCUAACUCCGUGCCAGCAGCCCCGGUA
This 193-nucleotide ribosomal RNA is filed under the name uncultured Gemmatimonadota bacterium. RNAcentral's name for it is "uncultured Gemmatimonadetes bacterium partial 16S ribosomal RNA". It matches the Rfam family "Bacterial small subunit ribosomal RNA", at positions 338 to 522 of the family's 1533-position model. The record is from RNAcentral. Lineage: Bacteria; Pseudomonadati; Gemmatimonadota.